This 322-nucleotide long non-coding RNA is filed under the name Homo sapiens (human). RNAcentral's name for it is "lncAB147.1". Lineage: Eukaryota; Metazoa; Chordata; Mammalia; Primates; Hominidae. The record is from RNAcentral.
CUCACAGAGAGUAAGUGAUAAAACCAGAGCCAAGUCUAUCAGCCUUUUUCACUCUGUGGCUCCUUUCACUUUCUUUAGUCACCAGUCCUGGUGUUUAGUCUCAACCUCAUUCCUCUUGUUGCAAUACAAUCCCAUUUCUACCUUGCUGCGUCUCUAAACAGAUAAGAAUUGGGUAUACUUGUUCCACUCUGAGGCUCAAAAGACAACUAUUCUCUCCCUGUCUUUUCCUCUUGUCCUCAUCCCCCACCUUUCCCAGGCUCCUUCUCAUUCCUCUCCUUUUCAGCUUCUAAACUGCCCCCUACCCCUAGGAGGCUCUGCCUCC